This 374-nucleotide ribosomal RNA is filed under the name uncultured eukaryote. Its description in RNAcentral is "partial 18S ribosomal RNA". It matches the Rfam family "Eukaryotic small subunit ribosomal RNA", at positions 592 to 975 of the family's 1831-position model. The record is from RNAcentral.
CAAUAGCGUAUAUUAAAGUUGUUGCGGUUAAAAAGCUCGUAGUUGGAUUUCGGUUAAGAGCGACCGGUCCGCCGUUUGGUGUGCACUGGUUGGUUUUAACUUCCUGUAGAGGACGUGCUCUGGGUUUAACGACCUGGACUCGGAGUCUACGUGGUUACUUUGAAAAAAUUAGAGUGUUCAAAGCGGGCUUACGCUUGAAUAUUUCAGCAUGGAAUAACACUAUAGGACUCCUGUCCUAUUUCGUUGGUCUCGGGACGGGGGUAAUGAUUAAGAGGAACAGUUGGGGGCAUUCGUAUUUCAUUGUCAGAGGUGAAAUUCUUGGAUUUAUGAAAGACGAACUUCUGCGAAAGCAUUUGCCAAGGAUGUUUNCAUUA